CAAAAGGGAAAUUAGAAUACUAUUACUUUGAAAAGGAGCAUUUCUGGGAAGGCCAUCCUUUUUCUACUUUGUUGAACAUGACCUCAGGAAACUGGUAACACCUUUACAUGAAUAUACAUUUGAUAAGAAAAUGAAGACUCAGAAGAAGGAAACCAAAAGUAUAUGUAAACUUUGCCAGAACCCAGGAUCUGUGCCAUGUCACCUUGCUUCCACAGCUUUCACAACUACUAGAGGAACUUUACAAGGACUUGCCUGUGGUCUUGCCUCCUGACUGGCCAUGCCAUCAACUACCAGCGACACCAGCAUAUAGCUAGAAGGAAGUCACUCGGUGGUGGUCAGAAUUAGGCAAUGUCAUUCAAGAGAAUUUCUUUUUCCCUGAUAUCCACCAACACAUUAAAACUGUUGUAUAAAAUUACAUCUGAUAAGCACUUUCUCAUGACUAGUAGCACACUGCAUCAUAUAUAUAUAUAUAUAUAUGAUAAUGCAUAAGAAUAUAAAUCCAAUUAAAUCCAGGCCUAAUCCCUAAAUCUUGCUUCCAUAGACCUAGU
Molecule: long non-coding RNA, 548 nt
Organism: Mustela lutreola (European mink)
Lineage: Eukaryota; Metazoa; Chordata; Mammalia; Carnivora; Mustelidae
Exons: 3
Source: RefSeq, a predicted model, not a curated record